UCCGCGCCUGGAGUCCGCCUCG
RNAcentral lists this microRNA (22 nucleotides) under Canis lupus familiaris (dog). Its description in RNAcentral is "Cfa-Mir-8859-P1_5p (mature (guide))". The record is from RNAcentral. Lineage: Eukaryota; Metazoa; Chordata; Mammalia; Carnivora; Canidae.